RNAcentral lists this ribosomal RNA (497 nucleotides) under uncultured bacterium. RNAcentral describes it as "partial 16S ribosomal RNA". It matches the Rfam family "Bacterial small subunit ribosomal RNA", at positions 28 to 507 of the family's 1533-position model. The record is from RNAcentral.
GAUGAACGCUGGCGGCGUGCCUAACACAUGCAAGUCGAGCGAACAGACGAGGAGCUUGCGCCUUUGACGUUAGCGGCGGACGGGUGAGUAACACGUAGGUAACCUACUUAUAAGACUGGGAUAAUUUCGGGAAACCGGAGCUAAUACCGGAUAAUAUUUCGAACCGCAUGGUUCGAUAGUGAAAGAUGGCUUUGCUAUCACUUAUAGCUGGACCUGCGCCGUAUUAUCUAGUUGGUAAGGUAACGGCUUACCAAGGCAGCGAUACGUAGCCGACCUGAGAGGGGGGUCGGCCACACUGGAACUGGGACACCGUCCAGGCUCCUAAGGGAGGCAGCAGUAGGGAAUCUUCGGCAAUGGGGGGAAACCUGGCGGAACAACGCCGCGUUGGUGGUAGAGGUCUUCGGAUCGUAAAACUCUGUUAUUAGGGAAAAACAGACGUGUAAGUAACUGUGCACGGCUUGACGGUACCUAAUCAAAAAGCCACGGCUAACUACGUG